AUUGAACGCUGGCGGCAGGCCCAACACAUGCAAGUCGAACGGUAACAGGAAGAAGCUUGCUUCUUUGGUGACGAGUGGCGGACGGGUGAGUAAUGUCUGGGAAACUGCCUGAUGGAGGGGGAUAACUACUGGAAACGGUAGCUAAUACCGCAUAACGUCGCAAGACCAAAGAGGGGGACCUUCGGGCCUCUUGCCAUCGGAUGUGCCCAGAUGGGAUUAGCUAGUAGGUGGGGUAACGGCUCACCUAGGCGACGAUCCCUAGCUGGUCUGAGAGGAUGACCAGCCACACUGGAACUGAGACACGGUCCAGACUCCUACGGGAGGCAGCAGUGGGGAAUAUUGCACAAUGGGCGCAAGCCUGAUGCAGCCAUGCCGCGUGUAUGAAGAAGGCCUUCGGGUUGUAAAGUACUUUCAGCGGGGAGGAAGGGAGUAAAGUUAAUACCUUUGCUCAUUGACGUUACCCGCAGAAGAAGCACCGGCUAACUCCGUG
Molecule: ribosomal RNA, 490 nt
Filed under: uncultured bacterium
Lineage: Bacteria
Description: partial 16S ribosomal RNA
Rfam family: Bacterial small subunit ribosomal RNA
Source: RNAcentral